GCAAAAUUGUGCUUCAAACUGUUUUUUUUUUUGCCUUCUUUUGGAUCAACAGCAAAAAACAAAUGCGAGGAAGGCUGAACUUGAUGGAGGCAAGUCUCUUUUCAGCUAUGUAACUAUGUAAUGUCACUCAGUUCCACGAUGGUGACUUCCACACUGAAAAUCCACCAGAAGACCCAUAUUGGUAAAUUGCGGGAAAAGGGAUGGUUGCAUUGUUUCUACAAGAAGUGCUACUACAAGUAGUUGUUAUUACAACCUUUCAAAGUAAAUUCCUGUAAAUUGUUUACCGUCAAUAAAAAAUAACAAACAUGUUUCAUUAUCGCUGGCCUCCUAGAUGUUUUUUUCAGCA
Pelobates cultripes (western spadefoot toad) is the source of this 346-nucleotide non-coding RNA. NCBI's taxonomy places the organism in Eukaryota, Metazoa, Chordata, Amphibia, Anura, Pelobatidae. The record is from the annotation of a GenBank genome assembly.